RNAcentral lists this ribosomal RNA (495 nucleotides) under uncultured bacterium. RNAcentral's name for it is "partial 16S ribosomal RNA". It matches the Rfam family "Bacterial small subunit ribosomal RNA", at positions 28 to 507 of the family's 1533-position model. The record is from RNAcentral.
GAUGAACGCUGGCGGCGUGCCUAAUACAUGCAAGUCGAGCGAACAGAUGAGGAGCUUGCUCCUCUGACGUUAGCGGCGGACGGGUGAGUAACACGUGGAUAACCUACCUAUAAGACUGGGAUAACUUCGGGAAACCGGAGCUAAUACCGGAUAAUAUAUUGAACCGCAUGGUUCAAUAGUGAAAGACGGUUUUGCUGUCACUUAUAGAUGGAUCCGCGCCGCAUUAGCUAGUUGGUAAGGUAACGGCUUACCAAGGCAACGAUGCGUAGCCGACCUGAGAGGGUGAUCGGCCACACUGGAACUGAGACACGGUCCAGACUCCUACGGGAGGCAGCAGUAGGGAAUCUUCCGCAAUGGGCGAAAGCUUGACGGAGCAACGCCGCGUGAGAUGAAGGUCUUCGGAUCGUAAAACUCUGUUAUUAGGGAAGAACAAAUGUGUAAGUAACUAUGCACGUCUUGACGGUACCUAAUCAGAAAGCCACGGCUAACUACGUG